Molecule: long non-coding RNA, 358 nt
Organism: Bufo bufo (common toad)
Lineage: Eukaryota; Metazoa; Chordata; Amphibia; Anura; Bufonidae
Exons: 5
Source: RefSeq, a predicted model, not a curated record
UGAGGUGCAUGUAUGUGACCUGUAUAUAGUGUGUCUGAGGUGUAUAUAUAACCUGUACAGUGUGUGAGGUGCAUGUAUGUGACCUGUAUAUAGUGUGUAUGAGGUGCAUGUAUGUGACCUGUAUAUAGUGUGUAUGAGGUGCAUGUAUGUGACCUGUAUAUAGUGUGUAUGAGGUGCAUGUAUGUGACCUGUAUAUAGUGUGUAUGAGGUGUAUAUAUAACCUGUACACAGUGUGUGAGGUGCAUGUAUGUGACCUGUAUAUAGUGUGUAUGAGGUGUAUAUAUAACCUGUACACAGCGUAUGAGGUGCAUGUAUGUGACCUGUAUAUAGUGUGUAUGAGGUGCAUGUAUGUGACCUG